This 344-nucleotide small nucleolar RNA is filed under the name Trichophyton rubrum BMU01672. Its description in RNAcentral is "HACA-box snoRNA". The record is from RNAcentral. Lineage: Eukaryota; Fungi; Ascomycota; Eurotiomycetes; Onygenales; Arthrodermataceae.
UUUGUAUCUCACGGUGUUAUCUUCAGCAUAGCAUAGCCACAAGUGGCCUGGAUUUGAGUAUGGAGAGUUUCCAACUGUCCUCGUUCCGUCUAUCGUGAAGUAACACCAAGCCAUGAGGAGAGCAACGUUGCCCCCCUAAGCUAUACGUGAUGAGAACCAGCCCGGCCUCUACCUGCUUAGAUGAUAAAACGAGUAUCAAUGGGUAGGCAGAGACGGAGUGGGCUGGCUUGUUUAAUAUAUCGCGUCGAAUACAGAGCUUAUUCACCAUUUGCACCCCGAAGGAAGAAAUGGUUGAAUUUCAAGGCAUUGAAUCUCGCCUUGUGCUCCACCCUGCGUCGCGAAGG